CAGAAAAUAGUUUAUAAAAAAUUUUAAUUUUGGAGAUUAAAGAGAGGAAGAGAUUUCUUUUUCUGA
This 66-nucleotide transfer RNA is filed under the name Cucujus kempi. RNAcentral describes it as "tRNA-Pro". Lineage: Eukaryota; Metazoa; Arthropoda; Insecta; Coleoptera; Cucujidae. The record is from RNAcentral.